ACUCAAAUGAAUUGACGGGGGCCCGCACAAGCGGAGGAACAUGUGGUUUAAUUCGAUGAUACGCGAGGAACCUUACCCGGGCUCGAACGGCAGAGUGAUGAUGGGGAAACUUAUCAGCCAGAAAUGGACUCUGUCGAGGUGCUGCAUGGUUGUCGUCAGCUCGUGCCGUGAGGUGUCGGCUUAAGUGCCAUAACGAGCGCAACCCUUAUUGUUAGUUGCCAGCGGGUAAUGCCGGGGACUCUAGCAAAACUGCCAGCGUAAGCUGUGAGGAAGGUGGGGAUGACGUCAAAUCAGCACGGCCCUUACGUCCGGGGCGACACACGUGUUACAAUGGCCGGUACAGAGGGAAGCUACCUGGUGACAGGAUGCAAAUCUUUAAAGCCGGUCUCAGUUCGGAUCGGAGUCUGCAACUCGACUCCGUGAAGCUGGAUUCGCUAGUAAUCGCGCAUCAGCCAUGGCGCGGUGAAUACGUUCCCGGGCCUUGUACACACCGCCCGU
This 498-nucleotide ribosomal RNA is filed under the name uncultured bacterium. Its description in RNAcentral is "bacterial SSU rRNA". It matches the Rfam family "Bacterial small subunit ribosomal RNA", at positions 899 to 1397 of the family's 1533-position model. The record is from RNAcentral.